This is a non-coding RNA of Dipodomys ordii (Ord's kangaroo rat), 72 nucleotides long. Lineage: Eukaryota; Metazoa; Chordata; Mammalia; Rodentia; Heteromyidae. The record is from Rfam.
GGGAAUGUGCCUUAGUGGUAUAGAGUGCUUGCCUUGCAUGCAUGAAGCCCUGGGUUCGAAUCCUCAGUACCA